CUCAGGAAAGAAGGGAAGAAGGAGGGUUUAACGUUUCGAGUGGAGCUCUUCGUCGGAAACAUAAGAGAAGGAAAGAUCCCGAGAAGGGAAGACAGAGGAAAAAAAUGGCCAGUGGUACUCAUGAGGUCACAUACUGCAUAUAUAUAUAUAUAUAUAUA
Molecule: long non-coding RNA, 158 nt
Organism: Octopus sinensis (East Asian common octopus)
Lineage: Eukaryota; Metazoa; Mollusca; Cephalopoda; Octopoda; Octopodidae
Exons: 3
Source: RefSeq, a predicted model, not a curated record